GAUUAACGCUGGCGGUAGGCCUAACACAUGCAAGUCGAACGGCAGCACAGGAGAGCCUGCUCUCUGGGUGGCGAGUGGCGGACGGGUGAGGAAUACAUCGGAAUCUACUCUGUCAUGGGGGAUAACGUAGGGAAACUUACGCUAAUACCGCAUACGACCUACGGGUGAAAGCAGGGGACCUUCGGGCCUUGCGCGAUUGAAUGAGCCGGUGUCGGAUUAGCUAGUUGGCGGGGUAAAGGCCCACCAAGGCGACGAUCCGUAGCUGGUCUGAGAGGAUGAGCAGCCACACUGGAACUGAGACACGGUCCAGACUCCUACGGGAGGCAGCAGUGGGGAAUAUUGGACAAUGGGCGCAAGCCUGAUCCAGCCAUACCGCGUGGGUGAAGAAGGCCUUCGGGUUGUAAAGCCCUUUUGUUGGGAAAGAAAUCCAGCUGGCUAAUACCCGGUUGGGAUGACGGUACCCAAAGAAUAAGCACCGGCUAACUUCGCGCCAGCCGCCGCCGUAA
This 506-nucleotide ribosomal RNA is filed under the name uncultured bacterium. Its description in RNAcentral is "partial 16S ribosomal RNA". It matches the Rfam family "Bacterial small subunit ribosomal RNA", at positions 28 to 523 of the family's 1533-position model. The record is from RNAcentral.